RNAcentral lists this ribosomal RNA (584 nucleotides) under uncultured bacterium. RNAcentral describes it as "partial 16S ribosomal RNA". It matches the Rfam family "Bacterial small subunit ribosomal RNA", at positions 355 to 1375 of the family's 1533-position model. The record is from RNAcentral.
UGGGGAAUUUUGGACAAUGGGCGAAAGCCUGAUCCAGCAAUGCCGCGUGUGUGAAGAAGGCCUUCGGGUUGUAAAGCACUUUUGUCCGGAAAGAAAUCCUUGGCUCUAAUACAGUCGGGGGAUGACGGUACCGGAAGAAUAAGCACCGGCUAACUACGUGCCAGCAGCCGCGGUAAUACGUAGGGUGCAAGCGUUAAUCGGAAUUACUGGGCGUAAAGCGUGCGCAGGCGGUUUGCUAAGACCGAUGUGAAAUCCCCGGGCUCAACCUGGGAACUGCAUUGGUGACUGGCAGGCUAGAGUAUGGCAGAGGGGGGUAGAAUUCCACGUGUAGCAGUGAAAUGCGUAGAGAUGUGGAGGAAUACCGAUGGCGAAGGCAGCCCCCUGGGCCAAUACUGACGCUCAUGCACGAAAGCGUGGGGAGCAAACAGGAUUAGAUACCCUGGUAGUCCACGCCCUAAACGAUGUCAACUAGUUGUUGGGGAUUCAUUCCUUAGUAACGUAGCUAACGCGUGAAGUUGACCGCCUGGGGGAGUACGGUCGCAAGAUUAAACUCAAAGGAAUUGACGGGGUCAUAGCUGUUUCCU